AUGUUGAAUGAAAGGAGAGAAAGUUAGCAUUCCCUUGAUAAGAAUGGAAGAGGCCCUUGGGCUUAACAACAUGCAUAUGGUUGAGGAAUUGUCACCUACUUCAUGGCAUCUAAUCACUGUUUUCA
Small nuclear RNA from Psammomys obesus (fat sand rat), 125 nucleotides. The record is from RefSeq and is a predicted model, not a curated record. Lineage: Eukaryota; Metazoa; Chordata; Mammalia; Rodentia; Muridae.